CCCAAAUGAUAUAAAAUUGACCCAAACCAUGACUGCAACGGUAAAUUGGUCCUGGCGUAUCAACUUAUGCAUCAUCACAAUAGUAACACAGAAAUGAAGACCAUACGCCCUAUGCACGCCAACUUCACAUACACAUCCACUCAAUAUGCUAGAGGUAGAGGUUUCAGACUUGAAGGCCUCAUGGAACACUGCAAAGAGAAUACACAUCCACUCAAUAUGCUAGAGGUAGAGAUUUCACAGACUUGAAGACCUCAUGGAACACUGCAAAGAGAAAUGGGCUACGGAUGAAACCUAUCAAUUUUGUUAAGUUUGAUAUUGGCAUCUGGUAAUCUCCUUCCAAGACUCCACACUAGUUCAAUUAGUUGGUGAUCGUGAUCAU
This 379-nucleotide long non-coding RNA is filed under the name Sorghum bicolor (sorghum). Its description in RNAcentral is "long non-coding RNA (SBIC_LNC002068)". Lineage: Eukaryota; Viridiplantae; Streptophyta; Magnoliopsida; Poales; Poaceae. The record is from RNAcentral.